AAAACCUAAUUAGGGAUAUAAUGAACGCGUUGGAACGCUCGGUUCGACAAUCCGACGAGUGUACGCGAAGUUAUUGACGAAACGGUCGGUUUUAGUACAGAGAGCCGCAGCCCGCGGAAUAGAUGUCUAAAAAUUACGAGAUCGGAUCCGGGGCAUCGUGGAGUCGAGGAAUAAACUCCAGAAUUUUCGGAUCGCGAUUUGGUGGCCGUUCGGGUGUUCGCGCGAGAGUUCGGGCCGAAUCUGGUCACGUGUGUCGCGGGAGGCCGAUUGCAAGUGACUACAAGCAAUCGAAAAGUAAUUUGAGGUGGGUUGUG
This 314-nucleotide long non-coding RNA is filed under the name Ananas comosus (pineapple). RNAcentral's name for it is "long non-coding RNA (ACOM_LNC012154)". The record is from RNAcentral. Lineage: Eukaryota; Viridiplantae; Streptophyta; Magnoliopsida; Poales; Bromeliaceae.